GUUAUUUAAUUUUUCAAUUUGUAAAUCUAACAUUUCUUCAAUGAUCAGUGUUAUUUCUUUCUCUCUGUGCACGUCAGAGGUUUUACUCUUUGAUUUUGUCUCAUUUGUGGUCUUUGUUCUGUUGUACAGUUCUAGAUGUUAAAAUAUAGACUAAGCUCUAUUUUAUAACCAC
Long non-coding RNA from Epinephelus moara (kelp grouper), 172 nucleotides. RefSeq lists it as uncharacterized. Lineage: Eukaryota; Metazoa; Chordata; Actinopteri; Perciformes; Serranidae. The record is from RefSeq and is a predicted model, not a curated record. The transcript has 2 exons.